This 71-nucleotide transfer RNA is filed under the name Candidatus Iainarchaeum sp. RNAcentral describes it as "tRNA-Gly". It matches the Rfam family "tRNA". Rfam says of the family: Transfer RNA (tRNA) molecules are approximately 80 nucleotides in length. Their secondary structure includes four short double-helical elements and three loops (D, anti-codon, and T loops). The record is from RNAcentral. Lineage: Archaea; Nanobdellati; Candidatus Iainarchaeota; Candidatus Iainarchaeia; Candidatus Iainarchaeales; Candidatus Iainarchaeaceae.
GCGUUCGUGGUCUAGCGGUAUGAUGAGAGCCUUCCAAGCUCUGGGUCCGGGUUCAACUCCCGGCGGACGCA